Long non-coding RNA from Dama dama (fallow deer), 863 nucleotides. RefSeq lists it as uncharacterized. Lineage: Eukaryota; Metazoa; Chordata; Mammalia; Artiodactyla; Cervidae. The transcript is spliced from 4 exons. The record is from RefSeq and is a predicted model, not a curated record.
UCGAUCCUUUGAUUUACUUACUAGUCUAGAGUCAAUAACUGGACCUUGUUGGAAAGAAACAAUGAAAAAAAAUGAUUAUAUGAGCCUGCUGUUGAACAUGUAAUCUUUCUUGUUUGGCAAGUAGAUGUGUAAAAUGUAAAUGCAUUAUGACAGUUCAAAAAGGAUAGGAUGGAAGAGAGGAGAAUCUAAGCCUAAUGACAGUGAGGAAAAAGGAGACUCUGGAAGAAAUCAUCUGGAGAGUUUUUGCAGUUGAAAACCAUUACCACUGUUUGCCUCCAAGCCUGAUAUGCUCCGAGAAGAAAGGAAUAUAUGUAAACAAGAAUAAGAAAGCUACCUUUUUAUUCUGGCAUCAGCCACAACAACAGUUUUGAGAAUAUCUGUGAUGUGUUAAAGAGUUUGCAGAAGCAUGCCAUGUGCAGGAAUAUUUCAGGAUUUCAGCUUCACAAACACUCCUGCUGUUACUAUGUACAGAGUUCUGCAUGGGAGAUGUGAGGAAGAAAACAAAAUGGCAUCUUUCAUAUGCAGGAGGAAUGUUAAUGAGGUAGAGAAAAGAGAAGGCAUCAUUAUAGUUUCACUCCAUGGAAACAAAAUUUAGAACCACCACCUGAAGAUAAAAAGAUCCUGGAUCCUUGUCAAUAUUCAGCACAAUAAGGUCUAAUGAUGUUUUCUGUAGCUUACAACUAUGUCUGACACACAGUAUACCUGCGAACAGGACAGGUUGCUUGUUUCUCUUCAUCUGAUCCAGAUCCUACCUGAGUUCUUGCAGAGGAAGUGAACAGAAGUUAAUACUUUUAAAAGUAUCAGUCCAGAGUGCUUUCCCCUGAAUUCUGCAUGGCUCCAAGAGACCAUUCUCCAAAGAAUUA